Molecule: ribosomal RNA, 350 nt
Filed under: uncultured bacterium
Lineage: Bacteria
Description: bacterial SSU rRNA
Rfam family: Bacterial small subunit ribosomal RNA
Source: RNAcentral
GGGCCCGCACAAGCGGUGGAGCAUGUGGUUUAAUUCGAUGAUACGCGAGGAACCUUACCAGGGCUUAAAUGUAGUGGGACAGGUCUAGAGAUAGACCCUUCUUCGGACUACUUACAAGGUGCUGCAUGGUUGUCGUCAGCUCGUGCCGUGAGGUGUCAGGUUAAGUCCUAUAACGAGCGCAACCCCUAUCGUUAGUUGCCAGCGAGUAAUGUCGGGAACUCUAACGAAACUGCCAGUGCAAACUGUGAGGAAGGUGGGGAUGACGUCAAAUCAUCACGGCCCUUACGUCCUGGCCUACACACGUGCUACAAUGGCCGGUACAGAGAGCAGCCACUACGCGAGUAGGCGCG